CAGCCGCCACGGGAAUACGGAGGGAGCUAGCGUUGUUCGGAAUUACUGGGCGUAAAGCGCACGUAGGCGGCUUUGUAAGUCAGAGGUGAAAGCCUGGAGCUCAACUCCAGAACUGCCUUUGAGACUGCAUCGCUUGAAUCCAGGAGAGGUGAGUGGAAUUCCGAGUGUAGAGGUGAAAUUCGUAGAUAUUCGGAAGAACACCAGUGGCGAAGGCGGCUCACUGGACUGGUAUUGACGCUGAGGUGCGAAAGCGUGGGGAGCAAACAGGAUUAGAUACCCCCGUAGUCCCUGUCUCUUAUAC
RNAcentral lists this ribosomal RNA (301 nucleotides) under uncultured bacterium. Its description in RNAcentral is "partial 16S ribosomal RNA". It matches the Rfam family "Bacterial small subunit ribosomal RNA", at positions 509 to 807 of the family's 1533-position model. The record is from RNAcentral.